Molecule: ribosomal RNA, 887 nt
Filed under: uncultured bacterium
Lineage: Bacteria
Description: bacterial SSU rRNA
Rfam family: Bacterial small subunit ribosomal RNA
Source: RNAcentral
UUAGGUGCUCAACAUCUGCCUUGCAGCGCGAACUGGCGGACUUGAGUGCACGCAACGUAUGCGGAAUUCAUGGUGUAGCGGUGAAAUGCUUAGAUAUCAUGACGAACUCCGAUUGCGAAGGCAGCGUACGGGAGUGUUACUGACGCUUAAGCUCGAAGGUGCGGGUAUCGAACAGGAUUAGAUACCCUGGUAGUCCGCACGGUAAACGAUGGAUGCCCGCUGUUAGCGCCUGGCGUUAGCGGCUAAGCGAAAGCAUUAAGCAUCCCACCUGGGGAGUACGCCGGCAACGGUGAAACUCAAAGGAAUUGACGGGGGCCCGCACAAGCGGAGGAACAUGUGGUUUAAUUCGAUGAUACGCGAGGAACCUUACCCGGGCUUGAAUUGCAGACGCAGGAUACAGAGAUGUUGACUCCCUUCGGGGCGUCUGUGAAGGUGCUGCAUGGUUGUCGUCAGCUCGUGCCGUGAGGUGUCGGCUUAAGUGCCAUAACGAGCGCAACCCCUUUCCUUAGUUGCCAUCAGGUUAUGCUGGGCACUCUGGGGAUACUGCCACCGCAAGGUGUGAGGAAGGUGGGGAUGACGUCAAAUCAGCACGGCCCUUACGUCCGGGGCUACACACGUGUUACAAUGGCCGGUACAGAGGGACGGUGCGAUGCAAAUCGCAUCCAAUCUUGAAAGCCGGUCCCAGUUCGGACUGAGGUCUGCAACCCGACCUCACGAAGCUGGAUUCGCUAGUAAUCGCGCAUCAGCCAUGGCGCGGUGAAUACGUUCCCGGGCCUUGUACACACCGCCCGUCAAGCCAUGAAAGCCGGGGGUGCCUGAAGUUCGUAACCGCGAGGAGCGACCUAGGGCAAAACUGGUGAUUGGGGCUAAGUCGUAACAAGGUAACC